This 497-nucleotide ribosomal RNA is filed under the name uncultured bacterium. RNAcentral describes it as "partial 16S ribosomal RNA". It matches the Rfam family "Bacterial small subunit ribosomal RNA", at positions 28 to 507 of the family's 1533-position model. The record is from RNAcentral.
GAUGAACGCUGGCGGCGUGCCUAAUACAUGCAAGUCGGGCGAACAGACGAGGAGCUUGCUCCUCUGACGUUAGCGGCGGACGGGUGAGUAACACGUGGAUAACCUACCUAUAAGACUGGGAUAACUUCGGGAAACCGGAGCUAAUACCGGAUAAUAUAUUGAACCGCAUGGUUCAAUAGUGAAAGACGGUUUUGCUGUCACUUAUAGAUGGAUCCGCGCCGCAUUAGCUAGUUGGUAAGGUAACGGCUUACCAAGGCAACGAUGCGUAGCCGACCUGAGAGGGUGAUCGGCCACACUGGAACUGAGACACGGUCCAGACUCCUACGGGAGGCAGCAGUAGGGAAUCUUCCGCAAUGGGCGAAAGCCUGACGGAGCAACGCCGCGUGAGCGAUGAAGGUCUUCGGAUCGUAAAACUCUGUUAUUAGGGAAGAACAAAUGUGUAAGUAACUAUGCACGUCUUGACGGUACCUAAUCAGAAAGCCACGGCUAACUACGUG